Molecule: long non-coding RNA, 863 nt
Filed under: Homo sapiens (human)
Lineage: Eukaryota; Metazoa; Chordata; Mammalia; Primates; Hominidae
Description: HSALNT0068884
Source: RNAcentral
CUGAGUCUCCUCUAACCCUGAACUUCGGUCUCCCUGCAGGCUGGGGGCCUAGCCCGAGCCCCUGUGGAGGUAUCUGGGGUGGGGGAUAAUCAUGUCUCCCACAUCUCAACUCCCUUGGCCCCUUCUCCCUGUGGCCCCUCUUGGUGGUAAGCCCACUUGGGGCUGGCUACAGCCCUCCUUGGGGAUAACUGCUCACACUGGCAGGAGGCAGGCAGGAAGGGGGACCCCUUAGUGGGGGCGACAGCUGGAUGGAUGACUGGGCUCCCAUCAAAUCUGACACACUCAUCACCCAACUCCACAGAAGACCCAAAGCCUGUGCUGCCAGAGGGGACAGGGUGGCAGCAGCUCUCUGAAUGCCCCAGGCCUGAGAAGGAGUGGGUGAGUGGGCAUCUGGCUGCCAGGCCCCAGUCAAGCCGGGACCCCCUCCCCCCGGUUAGAGGCCUCUAGACAGACACAGCCCCUAUGACAAGCCUGGAUACCUGUGCCACCUUUAGGGGAAUGAGUCUGUUGCACUGCGGUCUCUGACUGCCCUCAGCUCCACAGGGCCCACGUGAAUCCCUGUGCCUAUGAUUCUUAGCAACCAACGAAGUUCAUUUUGUCCCCACCAGUCUAUUCUGAGCACCCCAAAAGGGAUCAUUUGGAUGGGGCUGGGAGGGGCAACCAGCACAUGGACAUUUGCAAGGUGGGGCCUGGUUCUCAGUCCAGGGUGCCCCCGGCGGACUCACAGCACCGAGAUGAAGAUGGGGACAGACACCAGCUUUAAAAUAACCUCAAAUAAAUUUGCCCACAAACAGUGUCCCAAUCACCCUACAUUACAUUCUCAGGACCAGGGGAGGACGUGCUAAAACAGCACAACUCCUUGG